This 16-nucleotide ribosomal RNA is filed under the name Trichosporon asahii. Its description in RNAcentral is "partial 26S ribosomal RNA". The record is from RNAcentral. Lineage: Eukaryota; Fungi; Basidiomycota; Tremellomycetes; Trichosporonales; Trichosporonaceae.
UUGACUCUGGCCUGAA